RNAcentral lists this ribosomal RNA (700 nucleotides) under uncultured bacterium. Its description in RNAcentral is "bacterial SSU rRNA". It matches the Rfam family "Bacterial small subunit ribosomal RNA", at positions 94 to 792 of the family's 1533-position model. The record is from RNAcentral.
ACCGGCGCACGGGUGCGUAACGCGUAUGCAAUCUACCUUAUACAGGGGAAUAGCCCAGAGAAAUUUGGAUUAAUGCCCCAUAGCAUUACGACUUGGCAUCAAGAUGUAAUUAAAGUUCCAACGGUAUAAGAUGAGCAUGCGUCCCAUUAGUUAGUUGGUAAGGUAACGGCUUACCAAGACGAUGAUGGGUAGGGGUCCUGAGAGGGAGAUCCCCCACACUGGUACUGAGACACGGACCAGACUCCUACGGGAGGCAGCAGUGAGGAAUAUUGGUCAAUGGUCGCAAGACUGAACCAGCCAUGCCGCGUGCAGGAAGACGGUCCUAUGGAUUGUAAACUGCUUUUAUACAGGAAGAAACCCUCCCACGUGUGGGAGCUUGACGGUACUGUAGGAAUAAGGAUCGGCUAACUCCGUGCCAGCAGCCGCGGUAAUACGGAGGAUCCAAGCGUUAUCCGGAAUCAUUGGGUUUAAAGGGUCCGUAGGCGGUCUUAUAAGUCAGUGGUGAAAGCCCAUCGCUCAACGAUGGAACUGCCAUUGAUACUGUAAGACUUGAAUGCUUAGGAAGUAACUAGAAUAUGUAGUGUAGCGGUGAAAUGCUUAGAUAUUACAUGGAAUACCAAUUGCGAAGGCAGGUUACUACUAAGUGAUUGACGCUGAUGGACGAAAGCGUGGGGAGCGAACAGGAUUAGAUACCCUGGUA